AACAAGGCGUACCUGCGGACCUGCGGAAGGAUCAUUACCGAGUUUACAACUCCCAAACCCCUGUGAACAUACCUAUACGUUGCCUCGGCGGAUCAGCCCGCGCCCUGUAAAACGGGACGGCCCGCCCGAGGACCCUAAACUCUGUUUUUAGUGGAACUUCUGAGUAAAACAAACAAAUAAAUCAAAACUUUUAGCAACGGAUCU
This 204-nucleotide unclassified non-coding RNA is filed under the name soil metagenome. Its description in RNAcentral is "partial contains 5.8S ribosomal RNA, internal transcribed spacer 2, and large subunit ribosomal RNA". The record is from RNAcentral.